GAGGGGCAAGGGAUAUCGCGAAGCCCCUCCCCUCCUGAGUUCCAGCCCAGCCCCGAGCGAGGCUGAAAAGAGGGAAAGCUCCAGCUCAAGUGGGGAAACAGGAAGUGGUGUCCAAGGCUCUGGCAGGGUAGAAGAGCCAUCGUCCCAGGUGGGACAGGAAGGGGGAAGGAAGGGGGGCAGGCCAGUCCCCCCAACUCCGGAACUUCGCAGAAAGCGUCGGGGGAAGAGGAUGGGUCUCCCCAAGUUGUUAUGCUGGCGCAAGACGCGCCAAAAGCCACUUGGAGGUUCUGAUUCAAGCUGAACAGAUGUGUCUUUGUAAAUAGCACUGCCAUUAGCACUGUAAAUACUCAGCACCAAUAAAAGACAAAAUGCAGAGCUGUGUAGAGUCGUUACUCUGAAGUAGCCUUCUCCGGCCACCGUGACAGAUGUUGUGUCAAAAUUUCUCCUCAAUCGGUCAAGUGAUUUCAGUGAAAAGUGGACACCCACCCCCAUGCCCUAUUUACAUUUUUAUAUAGAGAGAGAUUUACUUGAUUUGGGAGGGGGCAGCUCCGCAACCUCCCCCUGGUUAUGCCCAUGCAAACUCGGGGUUGGCAGGGAAUAGCUGUGGCUGGGACUGCCAGAAUGAGUGUGCCAAUCACUGAGUUGUAUUUCUUUCUCCAAUUGACAGAAGUGGGUCGAACUGAAGGAGAGCAGUGUGGCAGAGGAUGCUUUUGCCAAAGUAGCAGAUAAGCCCCAAGCAAAAGAGGAAAAGGAGGAGGAAUUAUUCAGACGGACGGUCAUGGGAAAAUAUGGCAGCCUCGAGUUGAUGGACAGAGAGUGGGAAUAUCUCUACUUCUACUUUCGACUAAUGACAGCAAUUGAGACAAACCAGCAGCAGUUCCAGUCUCAGGCAUACACCACUGACAAGAUCUUAGACACUUUCUUUGAGACAGCUGAACAUGAUUUCAUUUCCAAAUGAAGAUGUUUGCAUGGUGUUCCCAAACUAGACUUCACCUGCUCCUGGAGGCUUCAGUUAAAGGGUCAACCUAGCUUGACAUUUUAUUGAUUUCUCACUUGUUUUAUACAUUAUGUUAUGUUUAUUAAAUGAAUUUCCACCUCUCUGUUGAGUACAACUAUAUUUGCUGGGUUUGACCUAAAUAAGUUGCAGAAUCUGUUUAGAAUGCUUGACUUUGCCCCUCAGAGGACUGUAGGAAGCUCCUCAAGCAAGGGAGCUUCCUUAGCAAGGGAGGCAUAUUUUAAGGUUAGACUUACACCAUAUAUUUAAAUCAUAUUUUGUACCACUUUAACAGUUGUGCCUUUCCCCCAUAAAAGGGAGGGUAAUGGGAAGUGAAGUUUACUCCUCACAGAAUAGUUUUCAGCACCCUUAGCAUAUUACAGUUCAUAGGAUUAUUGGAGGGCUAGGGAUGUUCUAAAUGUAUGGUGUGGGUGUGAAAUGAUGAAUUUUCACCAAUGGACAAAAACAUUUUUAUUCAGACAGGUCUUUAGCUUCACAAGCUGGCUCUUAUGUCCAUUGUGCAUGCUGCAAUUUGCCAGCACUUUGUGCUUAUUGAUUUGCUUAACCUGCUUGUUUUUGUUAUUUUGUAUUUUACUUGAUUUCACUGUCAGCUUCCUUGAGCACCACUUCGUGGAAAAUGUGCAACACAAAUUUAACAACAAAGUGACAAACAGACCGACAGACCGACAAAUGUUCAUCUGCCCCUCUGCAGCUACCGUAUUUUUCCGUGUACAAGACUAGGCUUUUCCCUAAAAAAUAAUGUCAAAAAUUAGAGGGCAUCUUAUACACGGAUAAAUCUCCUCCUUCCCAUUUUCUUAAAUCUGAGUCCCCAAAGAAGGGGGUGUCUUAUAGAUGGGGGUGUCUUAUAGAUGGAUAAAUACGGUAACUUUCACUGUGAUCUCUUGGUGUUCCAAAAAGACAUUGCCUCCUAUUAUUAAUUUCACAUGUUGAUUGUUCCUUGUGAAGAUGAAGCUUCUACUGUAUUUAACUUGUCCUUCCCAGUGUGCUGGAGAAAUGUGUGCCGAGUGUGCAAACUCCCUUUCAUUUGGAUACUGUCAUGUGUUCAAAACAGUGUGUUGUGUACUACAGC
This is a non-coding RNA of Zootoca vivipara (common lizard), 2084 nucleotides long. The record is from RefSeq and is a predicted model, not a curated record. NCBI's taxonomy places the organism in Eukaryota, Metazoa, Chordata, Lepidosauria, Squamata, Lacertidae.